UAUACAAAGGGGCGUGGUUGCGGAUGCCUUGUGCCGGGCCUGGAAAGCAGAUCAAAUCUACACAAACGAAACGAUUACCAUGCAGUAUUAUAUAAGACAACCUGAGUGACUAGACGCUACCCUGCCGCAACCAGACACGAGAACUCCGAAACCAUAAGAAACGAGGAGUGUUUUAAAUCAGCUCAUCGUUUCCUGAAUGAAUUACCCUCUUCUUCAGCUGAACAAUUCUUUGCGAGGAAUAUGAAUCAUAGGCAUAACAAGGCUAUCGGCAGGUGUCUCCCAAUGAAUUUGCAAAGAGAAGGGUUAACGAGAGCCCAAAAACGUCGCAUGGAAAUUGAUGCUAGCCAGGCAGAUGCUGAUGCAAUGCAGAUAGUUACAUCUGUGCAGUUCAGCAGUGUUGGAGGCCUCUCUAACCAUAUAGCAUCAUUAAAAGAGAUGGUGCUUUUUCCAUUAAAGUACCCAGAAGUGUUUGAAAGAUUUAAAAUCCAACCUCCACGGGGAUGUUUGUUCUAUGGCCCUCCUGGUACUGGUAAAACCUUGGUUGCCCGGGCCUUGGCUAAUGAGUGCAGUGUGGCUGAUAGAAGAAUUACUUUCUUCAUGAGGAAAGGAGCAGACUGCAUGAGUAAAUGGACAGGAGAGUCUGAGCGGCAGCUGAGACUCCUCUUCGAUCAGGCCUAUGAAACGCGUCCUUCAAUUAUCUUUUUUGAUGAGAUUGAUGGCUUGGCACCUGUCCGAACCAGCGAAGACCACAACCAUGGCUCCUUAGUUUCUACACUGUUAGCACUUAUGGAUGGUGUGGAUGACCGAGGGGAGAUUGUUGUCAUAGGAGCUACAAACAGAAUUGACUCCAUUGAUCCAGCUCUCAGGAGGCCUGGACGUUUUGACAGAGAAUUUCUUUUCUGCUUGCCAGAUAGAGAUGCAAGAUUUGAAAUUUUUAAAAUUCACACAACAGAAUGGAAUCCAAAGCCAUCAGAGGUGUUUCUGCAAGACUUGGCUGAAAAGUGUUUUGGUUACUGUGGAGCGGACAUAAAAGCUGUGUGUACUGAAGCAGUGCUGUGCGCUUUACGCAGGUGUUACCCGGAGAUUUACACCACAGCAGACAGUUUGCAGCUGGAUGUGUCUUCCAUUACAGUUACUGCUGCAGACAUUUUAACAGCAAUGCAGAAGAUUGUGCCAGCAUCACAGCGAGCCGUAGUGUCUCCUGGACAAGCUCUCUCAUGUGUUAUCAGUCCUUUACUUCAGAGAACACUUAACAACAUUUUGAAAGCUUUAAGGAAAGUGUUCCCACAUGCCGAUGAAGAACUCCACAAAGAGACAGCAUCUGCGUUUUCAAGUCAUAUGUUGUAUAAAGACUUGCCAUGUAGCAGUGAUGCAGGUUCGUCUGUCUUGGAAAGUGAGACUCUCCACAAUCUCCCAAACAACAAACAGAAUGCAACUCAUCAGCCGCCAUCCUACAGACCUAGACUGUUACUGUCUGGGAGACCCGGUCUAUGUCAAGGAACAUACUUGGCACCCGCAGUCAUACAUGCGUUGGAAAAGUUUGCAGUGCACACACUAGAUUUUCCUGUUCUAUUUGGUACUCAUUCGACUACUCCAGAAGAGAUCUGUGCACAGGUGUUUCGUGAAGCAAAAAGAACUGCGCCAAGCAUCCUUUAUAUACCAGAUAUUCCUUUGUGGUGGGAAACUAUUAGCUGCACCCUGGAGGCAACAUUCAUCACAUUACUUAAGAACAUCCCCUCCUUGUCUCCAGUCCUUCUGCUUGCAACAUCUGAUAUGGAUUACUUUGAUCUGCCCUCUGAACUACAAGAGCUGUUUCCUGAUGACCAUGGCAAUGUUUUUCAUGUUCAGCUGCCCAGCAAUGAGGACAGGAGGGCGUACUUUGAAGAUAUUAUUUUGAACCAAGCUGCCGUAAGUCCCACUUACAAAAAGAAGGCAGGUAAGUGUGUUCAGCGAAUGACACAUCACACGCAAGUGAAGCAGCAGCAUCUCAUCAGUGUGGACACAAUCACAGACAUACCUUCUGAGCCAGCAUCGGCUGUUCACACUGAUAAUAAGCAUCUUAAGACACUCCUAGACAAAGCUGUCAAUAAAAGUUGUGGCUAUAAUGUGUUACAACUGGAGAGGUUGUAUGUUGUGCUAAGCCAGUGCAUUUACAGAUAUCGUAAAGACAAAACUCAGUUGCUACUGCAAAUGGAUCAAGAAAUUACAUCUUUCAGAAACUGAGACAUCACAUUUCAUAUUGCCUUAAGGGCGAGCACAACGGCAAGCUGCUGCUGCUGGGAGCCCCGACCAAUCCCCUUCUCAGCCCCCCUCCCCUUCUGUCGCGCAAUCCCCCUCUCCUUCCCAGUCCCCUUCUCAGCCCCCCUCCCCUUCUGUCGCCCAAUCCCCCUCUCCUUCCCAGUCCCCUUCUCAGGCCCCCUCCCCUUCUGUCGCCCAAUCCCCCUCUCCUUCCCAGUCCCCUUCUCAGGCCCCCUCCCCUUCUGUCGCCCAAUCCCCCUCUUCUUCCCAGUCCCCUUCUCAGGCCCCCUCCCCUUCUGUCGCCCAAUCCCCCUCUCCUUCCCAGUCCCCUUCUCAGGCCCCCUCCCCUUCUGUCGCCCAAUCCCCCUCUCCUUCCCAGUCCCCUUCUCAGGCCCCCUCCCCUUCUGUCGCCCAAUCCCCCUCUCCUUCCUAGUCCCCUUCUCAGGCCCCCUCCCCCUCUCUUUACCAAUACCCAUCUCUGUCCCCCUCCCCCUCUGAAGGCCAAACAACCACUCCGGCCACCUCCCCCUCUCUGGCCCCCUCCCCCUCUGUUGCCCAAACACCCUCUCCGCCCCCCUCCCCCUCUCAAUCAGACCCACCCUCUGAAAACAGCUCCCCGGUCCCUCCUCCUUCCCCAAUCCCUCCUCCUUCCCCAAUCCAGCCUCCUUCCCCAAUCCAGCCUCCUACCCCCAUCCAGCCUCCUUCCCCCAUCCAGCCGCCUUCCCCACCCAGUGAAUGGGCAGCAGAAGCCCCAGCGGAUAUUCCGGGGAGUCCGCAUGUGGCAGAUGAGAAUGGUGCAGUUGGAGAACCCACAAGCCUGGCAGGCAUCGUGGGCAGCCUAAAGGCCCAUUUGCAGGCCAUGCUGGCCGACGUAGAAAGGCUACAUAACUUUUGUUAAUUUUUU
RNA transcript from Pseudophryne corroboree (corroboree frog), 3142 nucleotides. It is a transcript of the gene named ATPase family AAA domain-containing protein 2-like, with no coding region annotated. NCBI's taxonomy places the organism in Eukaryota, Metazoa, Chordata, Amphibia, Anura, Myobatrachidae. The record is from RefSeq and is a predicted model, not a curated record. The transcript has 18 exons.